This 497-nucleotide ribosomal RNA is filed under the name uncultured bacterium. RNAcentral's name for it is "partial 16S ribosomal RNA". It matches the Rfam family "Bacterial small subunit ribosomal RNA", at positions 28 to 507 of the family's 1533-position model. The record is from RNAcentral.
GAUGAACGCUGGCGGCGUGCCUAAUACAUGCCAGUCGAGCGAACAGACGAUGAGCUUGCUCCUCUGACGUUAGCGGCGGACGGGUGAGUAACACGUGGAUAACCUACCUAUAAGACUGGGAUAACUUCGGGAAACCGGAGCUAAUACCGGAUAAUAUAUUGAACCGCAUGGUUCAAUAGUGAAAGACGGUUUUGCUGUCACUUAUAGAUGGAUCCGCGCCGCAUUAGCUAGUUGGUAAGGUAACGGCUUACCAAGGCAACGAUGCGUAGCCGACCUGAGAGGGUGAUCGGCCACACUGGAACUGAGACACGGUCCAGACUCCUACGGGAGGCAGCAGUAGGGAAUCUUCCGCAAUGGGCGAAAGCCUGACGGAGCAACGCCGCGUGAGUGAUGAAGGUCUUCGGAUCGUAAAACUCUGUUAUUAGGGAAGAACAAAUGUGUAAGUAACUAUGCACGUCUUGACGGUACCUAAUCAGAAAGCCACGGCUAACUACGUG